This 460-nucleotide ribosomal RNA is filed under the name uncultured bacterium. RNAcentral describes it as "partial 16S ribosomal RNA". It matches the Rfam family "Bacterial small subunit ribosomal RNA", at positions 338 to 795 of the family's 1533-position model. The record is from RNAcentral.
CCUACGGGAGGCUGCAGUGAGGAAUAUUGGUCAAUGGACGAGAGUCUGAACCAGCCAAGUAGCGUGAAGGAUGACUGCCCUAUGGGUUGUAAACUUCUUUUAUAUGGGAAUAAAAUGUUCCACGUGUGGGAUUUUGUAUGUACCAUAUGAAUAAGGAUCGGCUAACUCCGUGCCAGCAGCCGCGGUAAUACGGAGGAUCCGAGCGUUAUCCGGAUUUAUUGGGGUUAAAGGGGGCGUAGGUGGAUUGUUAAGUCAGUUGUGAAAGUUUGCGGCUCAACCGUAAAAUUGCAGUUGAAACUGGAAGUCUUGAGUACAGUAGAGGUGGGCGGAAUUCGUGGUGUAGCGGUGAAAUGCUUAGAGAUCACGAAGAACUCCGAUUGCGAAGGCAGCUCACUGGACUGCAACUGACACUGAGGCUCGAAAGUGUGGGUAUCAAACAGGAUUAGAGACCCCUGUAGUC